Molecule: transfer RNA, 76 nt
Filed under: bacterium CG2_30_33_46
Lineage: Bacteria
Also listed under: 6 other names
Description: tRNA-Met
Rfam family: tRNA
About the family: Transfer RNA (tRNA) molecules are approximately 80 nucleotides in length.
Source: RNAcentral
GGGCCCGUAGCUCAGCGGUCAGAGCAGUCGGCUCAUAACCGGUUGGUCGAAGGUUCAAAUCCUUCCGGGCCCACCA